GGCGACACGCCACACAUUUCACGAUCCGAGGAUUGCCGCACUCGACCCGCGAAAUUUGAAGCGUGAUUGAAACGUCGUCGUCAUCUUCUUUUUCUCAAUUGUUUUUGCUAUAUGCUUCGAGGCUAUUCUGGAUCUCCAGAGCGAAAGCUGGUUGUUUCUGAUACGUACCACGCAUUACCUUAGGUUGAGCCGUGGCUUUUAAUUUUUUUUGGAAGUUCACUGCUUUGGAGACGACGGAAUGUCAAGGUAAGUUAUUCACGAAAUGUACUCAAAUUUGAAUUGAGUCAAUGCGAAUGACACCCUGUUUUCGGAAUAGUUCUCCACUAAACACACCAUGCCCAUGGCCCCUUCAUGUUGUCCAAGUUCCAUUCUAGGUUUGUGUGAAGUUUCGAGAUGAAGUUCGACGAUGUACUCACCUUUCCAUGGAAGGGAAAAAAAGUAGCAUAUCAAACAGAAUCCAUGCAGUAUUUGAUGCCACUAUCCUCAUUCUUCUGCAUUCAAAGUGUUUCACAUCUAUAUGGCCCAUGAACUGCAAACAAUAUUAGUCAUUUCUUAACUGUUCAUAGCUGUUCAUAACUGUUCUGAACACAUUGCCUUCAGGAAACGUAAGGCCGAGUCGCCUCACCGACUGAGCAAAGUUCUCUGCGACGAAAGUCACACUAUCGGCGAAUGCACUCAAGAGCUUCCGAGCCACGCCGAGUCACCUGACCAACUGAAGAAGGUUCUGUGCGACGAAAGUCACACUAUCGGCGAAUGCACUCAAGAGCUUCCGAGCCACGCCGGGCCACCUGAAUUCUCCAAACAAGGCUGAAGGCUUGUCACGGCAUCCUUGCCAAAUAAAGGUAUAAGCUGCAGCAAGUUGUCGUUGCGACACCUUGCUCCUUCCAGCUCACGCCGCACGGCCACCAAGCACCAACCACCAUGGUACUUUUCAG
This is a long non-coding RNA of Sycon ciliatum, 935 nucleotides long. RefSeq lists it as uncharacterized. Lineage: Eukaryota; Metazoa; Porifera; Calcarea; Leucosolenida; Sycettidae. The record is from RefSeq and is a predicted model, not a curated record. The transcript has 3 exons.